Molecule: unclassified non-coding RNA, 1433 nt
Filed under: Leishmania donovani
Lineage: Eukaryota; Euglenozoa; Kinetoplastea; Trypanosomatida; Trypanosomatidae
Description: gene:LdHU3.35.6360(CDS-product:hypothetical_prote in_conserved)
Source: RNAcentral
AAGAGGGCAAACAAACAGCGCAGGAGGCUGAUGGUGCCGUACCUUUGUGUGUUCUUGUGAUCGCACGCGUGCGUGUUUCUCUUCCCUACCGACGCUGGUGUUGCAGAAGGCACGAUAAGCUGGAGCCGCAGUCGAGGCCUCACGCACGCACACACACAUACACACACACACACCAAAAAAAAACAGCAGCACAACUAAUGUGUGGGCAAACGGAGGUGCACGCCGAUAAUGUAGUGCCGGUGUGCUUUUCGAGCGAAGCGGUCGCCAGGACUUCUGCUGUGCUUAGGUUGGCGUUGCCCGUUGAUGCGACGGGUAGUACAGUGACUGCUUUCGCUGGCCACUCGGGGGGCUGGCGUGUGCCAGUGGCCAGCAUGCACGCGAUCCCGCUACUGCCACCCUGCAAGGGGACAAAGGGUGACCUGAAUCGAAUCGAUGCCGCGGCAGUCGAUGGACUUACGCCAGCUACUCCCUCGCUCGCGGCAGGUAAUACCGCACCUGCGCGCCAGGCUGCCUGCGGUGCGCUACGGCGGCAGGUGGGGCUGCCGUCAAAAAGUCGGUUCUCCAUGUCUCUCACCUCACUCAUGAGUUUUCUCUCGAGUAGGUGGGUUUCUGCCGCCGAGUUCACCACGAAAGCGACAACAACGAACAUCCCUUACGAGCUGGACGCGCACCGCACCGGCCUUUGCAGCUGGGCCUCUUCGUCGUUGACAACAGCCUUCGUGUCUCUAGUCUGCGCGUGGCUAGCGGUCGAGGCUGAAAUGGCCACUCGCGCCCCAAGUUUCGUGGUUUGCAGCGCCGUAGUCGUGCGACACACCUUCUUUACCACAGCUCUAUGUGCGUGCGUCGACUUUGCAUCUGCUCAGGUACCGUUAUGCACAAUGUGGCUUUUGCUCCCUCUCAUCGGAUUCUCCCUGGAGGGUUUGGUACCGCCUCGAGUAUGGCGCACGCUGAUUGCCUGCUUUAUCCCCAUGAGCAGCACCGCUCUGUCAGGCCGCGGAGCGACGCCGGCAUUCCCGGCGCUCCUUUGGGUGACGAGUGCCGUUGCGCACUAAGUGGUGACUGUGUUCCAUGUAGUAUGCCGACAACUAAGGCUGCCAGACACAGCACCUCGAGCAAAGCAGCGCGUUAUCCCUGGAAUGAGGUUAGCAUGGAUGCAGGAGGAUACGAGCGCAUGCAGAUCGUAUGCGCUCCGUGAUACUCGUAGCGGCGACUCGCUUGUGGGCUUGUCACCCCUCUCCUUCCGAGUGUCAACAUGAGAGUUCUUGCUUUCUGUACCUGCUCACCUCCCCACUCAUACAUCUGCCGGUACGUGCGCAUGUGUGUCUCUCGAAACUCAAACCGCGUGCCACUGCCUGAAAAAAAAAGCAAAGAUGCAGAAAACCGUAAAAUACAAGCAAUAAAAACUCUGUGCGUGUAUGUGUGUUUGCCGGCAG